CUACGUGCCAGCAGCCGCGGUAAUACGGAAGGUCCAGGCGUUAUCCGGAUUUAUUGGGUUUAAAGGGAGCGUAGGCCGUGGAUUAAGCGUGUUGUGAAAUGUAGACGCUCAACGUCUGAAUUGCAGCGCGAACUGGUUCACUUGAGUAUGCACAACGUAGGCGGAAUUCGUCGUGUAGCGGUGAAAUGCUUAGAUAUGACGAAGAACUCCGAUUGCGAAGGCAGCUUACGGGAGCACAACUGACGCUGAAGCUCGGAGGUGCGGGUAUCAAACAGGAUUAGAUACCCUGGUAGUCCGCACAGUAAACGAUGGAUGCCCGUUGUUAGUUCACCUAAGAAUUAGCGACCAAGCGAAAGCAUUAAGCAUCCCACCUGGGGAGUACGCCGGCAACGGUGAAACUCAAAGGAAUUGACGGGGGCCCGCACAAGCGGAGGAACAUGUGGUUU
RNAcentral lists this ribosomal RNA (446 nucleotides) under uncultured bacterium. Its description in RNAcentral is "bacterial SSU rRNA". It matches the Rfam family "Bacterial small subunit ribosomal RNA", at positions 501 to 947 of the family's 1533-position model. The record is from RNAcentral.